This is a small nuclear RNA of Boleophthalmus pectinirostris (great blue-spotted mudskipper), 154 nucleotides long. RefSeq annotates it as U12 minor spliceosomal RNA. The transcript has a single exon. Lineage: Eukaryota; Metazoa; Chordata; Actinopteri; Gobiiformes; Gobiidae. The record is from RefSeq and is a predicted model, not a curated record.
AUGCCUUAAACUGAUGAGUAAGGAAAAUAACGAUGCGGGGUGACGCCCGCGUCCCUCGUGAACUUACGAGAAGAAUUUUUGUAAGGGCUCAGGUCCGACCACGGAGGUGACUUGCCUACUUUGCGAGAUGCCUCUUGGUACUAGGAUCUGCCCC